CCUACGUGUGGCAGCAGUGAGGAAUAUUGGUCAAUGGCCGGAAGGCUGAACCAGCCAUGCCGCGUGAAGGUCAGUGCCCUAUGGGCGUUAACCUUCUUUUAUAAAGGAAUCAAGUGAGGCACGUGUGCAUUUUUGUCUGUACUUUAUGAAUAAGGAUAGGCUAACUCCGUGCCAGCAGCCGCGGUAAUACGGAGGCUCCGAGCGUUAUCCGGAUUUAUAGGUUUUAAAGGGAGCGUAGAUGGGUUGUUAAGUCAGUUGUGAAAGUUUGCGGCUCAACCGUAAAAUUGCAAUUGAUACUGGCAGUCUUGAGUACAGUUGAGGUAGGCGGAAUUCGUGGUGUAGCGGUGAAAUGCUUAGAUAUCACGAAGAACUCCGAUUGCGAAGGCAGCUUACUAAACUGCCACUGACAUUGAUGCGCGAAAGUGUGGGUAGCAAACAGGAUUAGAUACCCGUGUAGUC
Molecule: ribosomal RNA, 459 nt
Filed under: uncultured bacterium
Lineage: Bacteria
Description: partial 16S ribosomal RNA
Rfam family: Bacterial small subunit ribosomal RNA
Source: RNAcentral